This 393-nucleotide ribosomal RNA is filed under the name uncultured bacterium. Its description in RNAcentral is "partial 16S ribosomal RNA". It matches the Rfam family "Bacterial small subunit ribosomal RNA", at positions 523 to 918 of the family's 1533-position model. The record is from RNAcentral.
AUACGGAGGAUGCGAGCGUUAUCCGGAUUUAUUGGGUUUAAAGGGUGCGUAGGCUGUUAGUUAAGUCAGGGGUGAAAUGCCGGUGCUCAACGCCGGAGCUGCCCUUGAUACUGGCUGGCUGGAGUGCGGAUGCCGUUGGAGGAAUGAGUGGUGUAGCGGUGAAAUGCUUAGAGAUCACUCAGAACACCGAUUGCGAAGGCAUCUGACGAAUCCGUCACUGACGCUGAGGCACGAAAGCGUGGGGAUAGAACAGGAUUAGAUACCCUGGUAUUCCACGCCGUAAACGAUGAUGACUAACCGUCGGCGAUAGACAGCCGGUGGCCAAGCGAAAGCGAUAAGUCAUCCACCUGGGGAGUACGUCGGCAACGAUGAAACUCAAAUGAAUUGACGGGG